GGUCACUAGACCUACAGCACCCUUACAGCAACCCACUGCCCAGCACAGAGACUGUGGCUCCUAAGUGUCCCUUCCCACUAAAUGGAGCCUGUACUCCCUGAAGUGACCAACCCAAGCAGGGCAGGAAAGUACAAGAGAACCCAAAGUGUCUUGGGGUUCAGAAAGCAAGGACAUACUCAGAGCGGGUGGGUGGUAUAAAAAGGACCCAGGCCUGGCCUGAAGCCCCUUCCACAGCCCAGUGGUAAUGUCAAAAUAGACCAUGACAAUAAACUAUCACCUGUAAAAUAAAACGGAACCUGAGCCCACACUAAUGGAUGAAUAAAUGACACAAACGGGAGGGAAAGCCAAGGGAUAGCGAGAGAGUGGUGAAUUAGGACACGGUUCAGCAGCUACCCGGGAAUUUGCUCAGGCUCUCUAUAGGCGCUCAAACUGGUGGGCAGUGGGAUGAAGAACAGGAGAGUCUGACACUCUCCAAGCACCUCAGCACAGGAAAAGAUCCAAGUUCAGUCUGUACUGUGUGUUUAUCUUGUUUGCACCCUCUGUACUAGAGCUUGGGGCAGUGUGAUCACGAGGAAGAUGCACGGAACAGGAUCCACAAAAAGGAGACAAUUUCUUUUUUUUCUCAGUACCGGGGAUUGAACUCAGGACCUUGUGCUUGUGAGGCAGGUGCAGCACCACUGAGCUAAAUCCUCGACCCAAAGAAGACAAUUUCUGAAGACGAGAGAAUUAGCUUCUUAAUACCAAAUACAUGAAAAAGCAAAGUGGAAAGUUUUCUUGGGACAUGUGCACUGACCCAGACUGCUCAAGGACCUGAGGGUGUUUAGAUGGGUGUGAGCCCCACUGCCACCCUGUGUGGACACAGACCAAGGAACAGAAGGCUAGCAACUGGCCAAGGCCCAGAGUGCCCACUGAUAGGCACACGAAGGGGAGGACAACACUCCAAGAAACUCCAAGAAGCGCCCGUUCCAACAAAUUCUUACAGCCACAAACUGAGAAGGCCUCAAUUUUAAAACUGUUAACACCACUGCUGGCCAUAGCCCCAGUGCUAGGAAGGAGGCUCCCGUCAUUGCUUGGACGCAGGGCUGCUGCCCAGAAACAGCAAAGCCAGCUGGCCAAGAUUAAUGGGAACUGAUAAGAAAACCAGGGCAAGCUAGGGAUAUGCUGGAGGAAAAUUAAUUUGUAUUUGAAAUAGGAAAAAAGGUCCAAAGACAAGGGGUGAAGGGAGGGGAAGGGGAAAGGAAAAGAGGGAAAGGAAAAACCAUGAGAAAAAAAAAAAAAAAAAAAGGAAAUGAAAUAUAUGUAAAUAGGGAAGGGCGGAGGGGGUGAAAGGUGCACAGGUAAUGGGGAAAAAAAAAAAAGAACCAAGAUACAUCACGUACAGGUACAGACACCUAAUGAUAAAUGUAAACGAACUGUAUACCUAAAAUG
Molecule: long non-coding RNA, 1428 nt
Filed under: Heterocephalus glaber (naked mole-rat)
Lineage: Eukaryota; Metazoa; Chordata; Mammalia; Rodentia; Bathyergidae
Description: lncRNA (ENSHGLG00000034908.1)
Source: RNAcentral